CCUACGGGAGGCAGCAGUGAGGAAUAUUGGUCAAUGGCCGGAAGGCUGAACCAGCCAAGCCGCGUGAGGGAGGAAGGCGCAGAGCGUCGCAGACCUCUUUUGCCGGGGGACAAAAGGCCGGACUCGUCCGGUCCUGAGGGUACCCGGAGAAAAAGCAUCGGCUAACUCCGUGCCAGCAGCCGCGGUAAUACGGAGGAUGCGAGCGUUAUCCGGAUUCAUUGGGUGUAAAGGGCGUGUAGCCGGGUUGACAAGUCAGAUGUGAAAUCCUGCGGCUUAACCGCAGAACUGCAUUUGAAACUGUUGAUCGUGAGUACGGGAGAGGCAGACGGAAUUCCUAGUGUAGCGGUGAAAUGCGUAGAUAUUAGGAGGAACACCAGUGGCGAAGGCGGUCUGCUGGACAGCAACUGACGGUGAGGCGCGAAAGCGUGGGGAGCAAACAGGAUUAGAUACCCCAGUAGUC
This 460-nucleotide ribosomal RNA is filed under the name uncultured bacterium. Its description in RNAcentral is "partial 16S ribosomal RNA". It matches the Rfam family "Bacterial small subunit ribosomal RNA", at positions 338 to 795 of the family's 1533-position model. The record is from RNAcentral.